AAAAUAAACGACGUACUUUAUUAGAACUUUUCGCCUUUCACGAAAUAAAUCCACAAGUUUUAAAAUUAAUGGAAGAAACGUAUCCAACUCUUCGUGCCGUAUUAAAUGAUAAAAACAGAAAUUUAGAGAUAAUAGCUGCUGAGUGGCCUUUCUUACAAGAAACCGAUUGUUUCUUUCAACACUGUUCUCGAUUAUUAGGGAAAAAUGUUGUUCAAGUCUGGACAAAUUCACUUAGUAACAAGACGAAAUCCAUACGGCAAUAUUUCAAACAUUCACAGAAAAAAAAGCCAAUGAAAUAAACGAGAUUAUAAACGACUGCAAAACAGCUGUUCAAAUAAGGAAGGAUAAAAUACCAAAACUAUUAGUAAUUUUCCGAUUAUUAAUCUUUUAUUUCAAUGAAAAGGAAAAUUUUCUUUUUAAAAUAAUUGGAAAUGACGUUGAUGAUGCUGAUGUAAUAAAUGCUGCUGACACUGAGUAUCCUGUGCUUAUCAUCAGAGGAAAAUCAUUAUACGACGAGAAUGCAAAAUGUACUGUCAUUAUUGGUAAAAAAGUUUCAAUUACUUCCACGAAUUCUCUGGAAGGAAUCUUGAUAACUUUUCUCGCAUACUACGUUUAUGGAUUUUGAUCUUCACCUAAAAUUGAAAAAUCUCUAGAAUUUAUACAAAGGUAACUACGAUUUAUUAUAAUUUCUAUAUAAAUGUAUAUAACGUAAGUAUAUCCUAUAUAGCUUAAUACUCAAUAUGGCCUACUUGUUAUUUCUAUAAGUUUCUUGGUUAUAUGAUGAAUUGAACAAAUAACGCUGUGUUGUACAGGCUGUCAACGUGUUUGCAACAGUUGACAACUCGAUUUUUGUAUUUUGUUGUUGAUAAUAAAAUCACAUUUUUUUAUUGUUUCUUUUUAUUAUCCAUCUUUCUAACACUUUUUGUGAAAACGAAAUAAUAUUAUUAGACUAGUUAGAACAAUUAAGUAACUUAUGUAUCUAAUACGACCUAAAUGACACUUUCUAAAAAUCUUUAUGCAUUGCGGCCACGUAAAUAUUUAAAACUGUCUCAAAUUUAAAUUAAUGUUCAUA
Molecule: long non-coding RNA, 1072 nt
Organism: Solenopsis invicta (red fire ant)
Lineage: Eukaryota; Metazoa; Arthropoda; Insecta; Hymenoptera; Formicidae
Exons: 3
Source: RefSeq, a predicted model, not a curated record